RNAcentral lists this ribosomal RNA (645 nucleotides) under uncultured bacterium. RNAcentral describes it as "bacterial SSU rRNA". It matches the Rfam family "Bacterial small subunit ribosomal RNA", at positions 635 to 1282 of the family's 1533-position model. The record is from RNAcentral.
GGUCAGCUUGAGUGCAGGAGAGGAAAGCGGAAUUCCUAGUGUAGCGGUGAAAUGCGUAGAUAUUAGGAGGAACACCCGUGGCGAAGGCGGCUUUCUGGACUGUAACUGACGCUGAGGCACGAAAGCGUGGAGAGCAAACAGGAUUAGAUACCCUGGUAGUCCACGCUGUAAACGAUGAAUACUAGGUGUCGGGGGUCAAAGCCCGGUGCCGCAGCUAACGCAUUAAGUAUUCCGCCUGGGGAGUACGGUCGCAAGACUGAAACUCAAAGGAAUUGACGGGGACCCGCACAAGCAGCGGAGCAUGUGGUUUAAUUCGAAGCAACGCGAAGAACCUUACCAGGUCUUGACAUCCCUCUGAAUGGCGCUUAGCAGCGCAGGUCCCUCGGGACAGAGGAGACAGGUGGUGCAUGGUUGUCGUCAGCUCGUGUCGUGAGAUGUUGGGUUAAGUCCCGCAACGAGCGCAACCCUUGAUAAUAGUUGCCAGCAAGUAAGGUUGGGCACUCUAUUGUGACUGCCGUAGAUAAUACGGAGGAAGGUGGGGAUGACGUCAAAUCAUCAUGCCCUAUAUGACCUGGGCUACACACGUGCUACAAUGGGGUGAACAACGGGAAGCAAGCCAGCGAUGGUAAGCGGACCCCUAAAAAC